AAAAAUAUUUAAGAUAUACUUAGUAGUUCGAGCGUUCAGUUAUCCAUUCAGUUUCAGUUCGUAUCUGUUUGGGUCUAAUGUUUAAUAUCUAUUCGCUUAUUUUGAAAUUUGGGUUUGGUUCCGGUUCUUUCGGUUUAAAUAUUUAGUAUCCAUUCGGUUAUUUUGCUUUGAAUAUUUUCGGAUAUUUCGGUUCUUUUUGAUUUUUUUUGGAUAUUUUCAAGUAUUUUUACUAUUUAGUCAAAAAAUAACUAAUAUUUUUGAAAAGAUAAUUAUAUUUCGGAUAUUUUCGGUUACUCAAAAUAUUUUGGUUCGGUACCGACUCGGUUUUCAUUUCUUCGGAUUUGGUUCUGUACGUUCGGUUCAAUUUAUUUUUCCAGGUCUAAUAAUUAGGAUUUUAGAUU
This 401-nucleotide small RNA is filed under the name Arabidopsis thaliana (thale cress). RNAcentral's name for it is "ATSL190280". The record is from RNAcentral. Lineage: Eukaryota; Viridiplantae; Streptophyta; Magnoliopsida; Brassicales; Brassicaceae.